Molecule: ribosomal RNA, 427 nt
Filed under: uncultured bacterium
Lineage: Bacteria
Description: partial 16S ribosomal RNA
Rfam family: Bacterial small subunit ribosomal RNA
Source: RNAcentral
GUGGGGAAUAUUGGGCAAUGGGGGAAACCCUGACCCAGCAACGCCGCGUGAGUGAAGAAGGCCUUCGGGUUGUAAAGCUCUGUCAUUAGGGAAGAAGAAGUGACGGUACCUAAUGAGGAAGCCCCGGCUAACUACGUGCCAGCAGCCGCGGUAAUACGUAGGGGGCGAGCGUUGUCCGGAAUUACUGGGCGUAAAGGGUGCGUAGGCGGCGUGUUAAGUUGGAUGUGAAAUACCCGGGCUUAACCUGGGGGGUGCAUUCGAUACUGGCAGGCUAGAGUGCAGGAGAGGGAAGCGGAAUUCCUAGUGUAGCGGUGAAAUGCGUAGAUAUUAGGAGGAACACCAGUGGCGAAGGCGGCUUUCUGGACUGUAACUGACGCUGAUGCACGAAAGCGUGGGGAGCAAACAGGAUUAGAAACCCGUGUAGUCC